This 253-nucleotide ribosomal RNA is filed under the name uncultured bacterium. Its description in RNAcentral is "partial 16S ribosomal RNA". It matches the Rfam family "Bacterial small subunit ribosomal RNA", at positions 524 to 776 of the family's 1533-position model. The record is from RNAcentral.
UUCGUAGGGGGCUAGCGUUGUCCGGAAUCAUUGGGCGUAAAGCGCGCGUAGGUGGCCCAGUAAGUCCGUUCUGAAAGUCACAGGCUCAACCUGUGAAAGCGGAUGGAUACUGCUGGGCUAGAGUCCGGAAGAGGCGAGUGGAAUUCCUGGUGUAGCGGUGGAAUGCGCAGAUAUCAGGAGGAACACCAACGGCGAAGGCAGCUCGCUGGGACGGUACUGACACUAAGGCGCGAAAGCGUGGGGAGCGAACAGG